GGAUGUGAGGCCGGUCUGGCUUUGACAUCUGGAUUGCCAGGGUUUACUCGGCUGACCUGGCUGGCUAGGUGAGUGUUCCCUUCCUGCCUUACUGCUAAGCUGCACACUUUCCCCAUAUGGAGGAGGACCAGUCUUCAGUCAAGUGUACACAAGUAGCUGAUCUCCCCUGCUUGAACCUCCAAACAAGCUUUCAAGGUUCUGUUCUGUUCUUUUCUUUUGAGACAGGGUCUUUCUAUUUAGUCCUAGCUGUCUUGGAAUUCACUAAGUAGACCAGCUGGCCUUGAACU
Cricetulus griseus (Chinese hamster) is the source of this 287-nucleotide non-coding RNA. The record is from Rfam. Lineage: Eukaryota; Metazoa; Chordata; Mammalia; Rodentia; Cricetidae.